Molecule: long non-coding RNA, 232 nt
Filed under: Mytilus galloprovincialis (Mediterranean mussel)
Lineage: Eukaryota; Metazoa; Mollusca; Bivalvia; Mytilida; Mytilidae
Source: RNAcentral
CCAUCUCAAUGAUAUCUAGUUUGUAUCACAUAUUUUGUUUUCUUUAUCAUCAUGACAGCCAUGACUGAAAACAGCUUUCAUGGGGUAAAAAUAUGAGAUGGUGAGUGACUCAGACUUAUUGUAGCCUCUAUUUUGAUUCAUUAUGUUUUCAAAGAUAUAUCCACACAUGGAAGAUGGAUCAAUGUUUUCUAUUUCAAUAAGUAUUAUGAUGCAUUAAACAAUCCUAAAAUUU